Long non-coding RNA from Pecten maximus, 118 nucleotides. RefSeq lists it as uncharacterized. The record is from RefSeq and is a predicted model, not a curated record. The transcript has 2 exons. NCBI's taxonomy places the organism in Eukaryota, Metazoa, Mollusca, Bivalvia, Pectinida, Pectinidae.
UAAGCUAUUAAGAAUUUCACAUUCUAAAUUUCCUAUUGAAAGAGAAAGUGAAUCUUCAAAACAAAUCAACAUACUAAAUAUCACGGUUUAAUUUACCAAAGGAAAAUAAAAGGAAGAA